UGGGGAAUAUUGCACAAUGGGCGAAAGCCUGAUGCAGCAACGCCGCGUGAGUGAUGAAGGCCUUCGGGUUGUAAAGCUCUGUCUUCUGGGACGAUAAUGACGGUACCAGAGGAGGAAGCCACGGCUAACUACGUGCCAGCAGCCGCGGUAAUACGUAGGUGGCAAGCGUUGUCCGGAUUUACUGGGCGUAAAGGAUGCGUAGGCGGAUACUUAAGUCAGAUGUGAAAAUCCCGGGCUUAACUUGGGAACUGCAUUUGAAACUGGGUAUCUAGAGGGCGGGAGAGGAAAGUGGAAUUCCUAGUGUAGCGGUGAAAUGCAUAGAGAUUAGGAAGAACACCAGUGGCGAAGGCGACUUUCUGGACCGUAACUGACGCUGAGGCAUGAAAGCGUGGGGAGCAAACA
RNAcentral lists this ribosomal RNA (402 nucleotides) under uncultured bacterium. RNAcentral's name for it is "bacterial SSU rRNA". It matches the Rfam family "Bacterial small subunit ribosomal RNA", at positions 355 to 774 of the family's 1533-position model. The record is from RNAcentral.